AGAUUGAACGCUGGCGGCGUGUUAACACAUGCAAGUCGAACGCGAAAGGGACUUCGGUCCUGAGUAAAGUGGCGCACGGGUGAGUAACGCGUGGAUAAUCUGCCCUUAUGAUCGGGAUAACAGUUGGAAACGGCUGCUAAUACCGGAUACGCUCAAAAUGAACUUUUUGAGGAAAGAUGGCCUCUGCUUGCAUGCUAUCACGUAAGGAUGAGUCCGCGUCCCAUUAGCUUGUUGGCGGGUAACGGCCCACCAAGGCAACGAUGGGUAGCCGAUUUGAGAGGAUGAUCGGCCACACUGGAACUGAAACACGGUCCAGACUCCUACGGGAGGCAGCAGUGGGGAAUAUUGCGCAAUGGGCGAAAGCCUGACGCAGCGACGCCGCGUGAGGGAUGAAAGGUUUUCGGAUCGUAAACCUCUGUCAGAAGGGAAGAAACUACGUUGUGCUAAUCAGCAGCGUACUGACGGUACCUUCAAAGGAAGCACCGGCUAACUCCGUGCCAGCAGCAGC
RNAcentral lists this ribosomal RNA (508 nucleotides) under uncultured bacterium. RNAcentral's name for it is "bacterial SSU rRNA". It matches the Rfam family "Bacterial small subunit ribosomal RNA", at positions 26 to 518 of the family's 1533-position model. The record is from RNAcentral.